CAGGACGAACGCUGGCGGCGUGCCUAACACAUGCAAGUCGAGCGGGGACAUUGCGACGGAGACGAAGUACUCGUACGGAGUCAAAGAUGUAAUGUUCUAGCGGCGGGACGGGUGAGUAACGCGUGAGCAACCUGUCCCUUACAGGGGGAUAACACAGCGAAAGUUGUACUAAUACCGCAUAAGACCACAGAGUGACAUCGCUCAGGGGUCAAAGGAGCAAUCCGGUAAGGGGUGGGCUCGCGUCCGAUUAGAUAGUUGGUGAGGUAACGGCCCACCAAGUCGACGAUCGGUAGCCGACCUGAGAGGGUGGUCGGCCACAUUGGGACUGAGACACGGCCCAAACUCCUACGGGAGGCAGCAGUGGGGAAUAUUGGGCAAUGGGGGAAACCCUGACCCAGCAACGCCGCGUGAGGGAAGAAGGUCUUCGGAUUGUAAAGUUCUUUUAUUAGUGACGAACGCAAUGACGGUAGCUAAUGAAUAAGCCCCGGCUAACUACGUGCCAGCCGCCGC
RNAcentral lists this ribosomal RNA (510 nucleotides) under uncultured bacterium. RNAcentral describes it as "bacterial SSU rRNA". It matches the Rfam family "Bacterial small subunit ribosomal RNA", at positions 25 to 518 of the family's 1533-position model. The record is from RNAcentral.